UGGGGAAUCUUGCGCAAUGGGGGAAACCCUGACGCAGCGACGCCGCGUGCGGGAUGAAGGCCUUCGGGUUGUAAACCGCUUUCAGCAGGGACGAGGCCUUAUGGUGACGGUACCUGCAGAAGAAGCUCCGGCUAAAUACGUGCCAGCAGCCGCGGUAAUACGUAUGGAGCAAGCGUUAUCCGGAUUCAUUGGGCGUAAAGCGCUCGUAGGCGGUCUGUUAGGUCGGCAAGUUAAAUCCGGGGGCUCAACCCCCGUCCGCUUCCGAUACCGGCAGACUUGAGUUUGGUAGGGGAAGGUGGAAUUCCUAGUGUAGCGGUGGAAUGCGCAGAUAUUAGGAAGAACACCGGUGGCGAAGGCGGCCUUCUGGGCCAUAACUGACGCUGAGGAGCGAAAGCUAGGGGAGCGAACAG
This 410-nucleotide ribosomal RNA is filed under the name Verrucomicrobiota bacterium. Its description in RNAcentral is "Verrucomicrobia bacterium partial 16S ribosomal RNA". It matches the Rfam family "Bacterial small subunit ribosomal RNA", at positions 355 to 775 of the family's 1533-position model. Lineage: Bacteria; Pseudomonadati; Verrucomicrobiota. The record is from RNAcentral.